RNAcentral lists this transfer RNA (72 nucleotides) under Danionella cerebrum. RNAcentral's name for it is "tRNA-Pro". The record is from RNAcentral. Lineage: Eukaryota; Metazoa; Chordata; Actinopteri; Cypriniformes; Danionidae.
GGCUCGUUGGUCUAGGGGAAUGAUUCUUCCUUCGGGUGCAAGAGGUCCUGGGUUCAAAACCAGGACGAGCCC